RNAcentral lists this ribosomal RNA (253 nucleotides) under uncultured bacterium. RNAcentral's name for it is "partial 16S ribosomal RNA". It matches the Rfam family "Bacterial small subunit ribosomal RNA", at positions 524 to 776 of the family's 1533-position model. The record is from RNAcentral.
UACGUAGGGACCGAGCGUUGUCCGGAAUCAUUGGGCGUAAAGAGCGUGUAGGCGGCCCCUUAAGUCCUGCGUGAAAUCCUGCGGCUCAACCGCAGACGGUCGUGGGAAACUGGAGGGCUAGAGUGCGGGAGAGGAGAGUGGAAUUCCCGGUGUAGCGGCGAAAUGCGCAGAUAUCGGGAAGAACACCCGUGGCGAAGGCGGCGCUCUGGGCUGGAACUGACGCUGAGGAGCGAAAGCGUGGGGAGCGAACAGG